UGUGUAGCCCUCGUUCAUUGGGCAGUUGGU
RNAcentral lists this non-coding RNA (30 nucleotides) under Homo sapiens (human). Lineage: Eukaryota; Metazoa; Chordata; Mammalia; Primates; Hominidae. The record is from RNAcentral.